This 350-nucleotide ribosomal RNA is filed under the name uncultured bacterium. RNAcentral describes it as "bacterial LSU rRNA". It matches the Rfam family "Bacterial large subunit ribosomal RNA", at positions 801 to 1150 of the family's 2925-position model. The record is from RNAcentral.
GGAGUGAGUUGUGGGUAGCGGUGAAUUCCAAACGAACUUGGAGAUAGCUGGUUCUCUCCGAAAUAGCUUUAGGGCUAGCCUCGUGGAGAGGAUAAUGGAGGUAGAGCUCUGUUUGGACUAGGGGCCCGUCGAGGGGUUACUGAAUCCAGAUAAACUGCGAAUUCCAGAUAUCCAUACACGGGAGUCAGACUGCGAGUGAUAAGAUCCGUAGUCGAAAAGGGAACAGCCCAGAUCACCAGUUAAGGUCCCAAAUCUAUGCUAAGUGGAAAAGGAUGUGGAGUUGCGUAGACAACUAGGACGUUGGCUCAGAAGCAGCCAUCAUUCAAAGAGUGCGUAAUAGCUCACUAGUC